AGGCAGAGUCGGGCGUCCGCGUCCUCCCGGCCAGCUCGACCGUCUUCUCUAGGCCCAUUCAGGACACAGGGGAGAAGGGAUGAUGUAUAAACCCAUGGAGUUGCUCACUCUCCUCUUACCUCCUUGAGGCAAGUCUCUGGUACUCAGGCUGGAGUGCGGUGGUGUGAUCUUGGCUCACUGUAAACUCAAGCUCCUGAACUCAAGCAAUUCUCCUGCCUUGGCCUCCCAAAGUGCUGGGAUUGCAGGUGUGAACUGCCACACCUGGCUCCCCGACUAUUCCUGUAUCAGAAAUGUAACUCACCCACUCACCACCAGCCCACACUCUGGGUUCUCCUAUCACUCCACUGCCUGCUCCUCGGCUGAUCACAAUGGAAGAAGAGAUCAUGGCACUUGUCAUUGACAAUGGCUCCAGCACAUGCAAAGCUGGCUUUGCUGGGUAUAGUUCCCCGAGCCAUGUUCCCCUCCAUCACUGGGUAUCCCUGGCACCAGGGCAUGAUGGUGGGCAUAGGCCAGAAGGACUCCUACCUGGGUGAUGAGGCCCAGAGCAAGUGCAGCAUCCUGACCCUGAAAGUGCCCCGUGGACCACCGCAUCAUCACCAACUGGGAUGACAUGGAGAAGAUCUGGCACCACACCUUCUACGAUUAGCUGCACGUGGCUCCCAAGGAGCACCCAGUGCUGCUGCCUGAGGCCCCGCUGAACCCCAGGGCCAACAGAAAGAAGAUGACUCGGAUUGAGACCUUCAACACCCCAGCAAGGUACACAGCCAUCCAGGCUGUGCUGUCCCUGUACACCUCUGGUUACACCACUGGUAUUAUCAUACACAGCUGAGACCCACACGGUGCCCGUCUACAAGGGCUAUGCCUUCCCCCAUGCCAUCCUGCGUCUGGAUGACUGGCACCUGACCAACCACCCCAUGGAGAUCUUCAGGGAGCCCAGCUACUGCUUCACCACCACAGCCAAACGGGAGAUCUUGUGCAACAUCAAGGAGAAGCUGCGGAAAUGGCCACCACAGCGUCCUCCUCCUCCCUGGAGAAGAUCUAGGAGCUGUCCAAGUGGUUCCAGUGUCUGGAGGCGCUGUUCCAGGCCUCCUUCCUGGGUAUGGAAUCUUGUGGCAUCCACCAGGCCACCUUCAACUCCAUAAAGUGUGAUGUGCACAUCCGCAAGGACCUGUUUGCCAACAUGGUGCUGUCUGGUGACACCCCCGUGUACCUGGGCAUCACCUACAUGAUGCAGAAGAUCACGACCCUGGUGCCCAGCUCCAAGAAGAUCAUCACCUUCCCUGAGCGCAAGUCCUUGUGUGGAUUGGCAGCACCAUCCUGGCCGCCUUCCAGCAGAUGUGGAUCAUCAAGCAGGAGUAGGAUGAAUCAAGCCCCUGCAUCACCCACUGCAAAUGCUUCUAAAUGGACUGCAAGCAGACGCGUGUCAUGUGCUUCAUGGAUUAAUGCAGAAGUAUAAAUUUGCCCCUGGCAAAUGCAUACACCUCAUGCUAGCCUCAAUAAACCAGAAUAAGCCUUUCAAAAGAACUGGUCCUUGAAGCUUGUAUAUCAGCACCGGAUUGUAGAACUUGGUGCUGAUUUUGACUUUGUUAACCGUUCCCUUGGUAUUUGUUUAAUACCCUGUACAUAUCUUUGAUUUAUACCCUUAGUACAUGUGGCUCAGUAACUUCAUGGCUGAGGUGAGGACAUGCUUGUGGGAGGGAAGUCUGUGGCUUGGUGGGUCUGUGUGACCUGCAGUCUCCUUAUCUGUGCAGGUACUAAGGUGUCAGAGAGCUCAGUGUUCCAGGAUUUUCCUUUUUUUUUUUUUUUUUUGAGACAGAGUUUCGCUCUAGUUGCCCACACUAGAGUGCAAUGGCGCAACCUCGGUUCACUACAACCUCCGCCUCCUGGGUCCAAGUGAUUCUCCUGCUUCAGCCUCCCAAGUAGCUGGGAUUACGGGCAUGCGCCACCACACCCGGCUAAUUUUGUAUUUUUAGUAGAGACAGGGUUUCUCCAUGUUGGUCAGGCUAGUCUCAAACUCCCGACCUUAGGUGAUGCACUGUGCCCAGCCAUUCCAGGAUUUUUCUAGAGCCUGGCAAGAGCUCCUGAACCAGUUUCAUUUCUGUCUUGCUGGUCUAUUAGUGUUAAGUCUUGAGCUAGAAGCGGUUUACAUUUACACCUGUAAAUUUAUUCAUUCUUUUAAUUUAUGUAAGUUUUUUGUACAUAAUUCUCAAUUUUUAAAGAGAUGACCACAAAUUUUGGUUUUCCACUGUUAUUUACAUAAGGAAAAAUAAAGUGCUGCAGUAAACCAAAAAAUAAAUAUAAUUCGCUCUAACCUCU
This 2316-nucleotide long non-coding RNA is filed under the name Homo sapiens (human). RNAcentral describes it as "non-protein coding lnc-TMEM183A-5:2". Lineage: Eukaryota; Metazoa; Chordata; Mammalia; Primates; Hominidae. The record is from RNAcentral.